UCGUGGUCUGGGUAAAAGGAACCUAGCCCAAUCCCCUUCCAUCCCACGCAGCCACUCCUCUCGUCUUCUUCUCUACAUUCCGCCGCCGCUGCUCGCAGCUCUGCCUCCCUGCCUGGCACCAGAGAAGAGCUGCUCCGCCUCCUCGCCUCACCUCCUCCUCCUCUCUUCCUCAGGGCGCCAGGAGCACGGCCUCGAUCUGGAGAAGGAGAGGCCAGGAGUGUGGCCUCGAUCUGGAGAAGGGGAGCAGCCGCCGACCCACUCCGGCGAUCCCGGCGGCCAUCUAGCACCUUCCCGUGCUCUCCUAUCAUUGCUCUACCACCUCCACUGCACUAAUUCGGCCUGCAGGUCCUCCAACGUCAUCCACGGCUAACCCUAGCCGCUCGGACUGCUGGUGUGCGGCGUCGCCAUGGACGCCGGCGCGGCGCCCGCACCUCCGACUGUUUCCUCCGACGCUGUACGCUGCCUAUGGGGCAUCCACCUCCAGGAUGGUGGCAAAAGAGGGACUCUUUGGCGACGGAGAGCUCGGGAUUCAUCACCCCCAACUGAAUCCACCAUUCCAUUGCCAUCACAAGUUCGAAAUUUCCCAUUGCCUUGCAGUUUGUUUGAUUCGUUGAUGUUGCUGUCCUAUAGUCCUGAAUGGGUCCCCAGCCCCAGGCAAAGCAAUCUCAGUGGAAUCAUGGAGAUCAAAAGAUUUUGCUAUGUCGAUAUAAUUCUAUGAAUUAUAUAUUUUCUUCCUGGAGAGUAACCUGUGUAAUCUUUGAAAGCAGCCUCUGCAUGUUUAUGGCCUCUCAGCUUCGUGCUUAUGGUGCGGCUGCGUGGAAGCCGGUGACAAGUACGGCCGCUCUCUACUCGCCUCUAAUAUGUAUGGCUUAACUCCCUCAAGAAAAGGAGUCUUUGCAAGCUUGCGUAUCAUUCAUUGAUAGGUAGAAGAGAACAAACAGAGACAUACAUGGGAAAAUAAGAAGGGCACCACACAAGGUGUGGGAAAAACAAAGAGAGAUACACACAGCACAAAGCUCUCCUAGCUCGAGCUCCAGCCGACAGGCAAAGAGACGAGAUACAAGGCAUCUAGACCGCGUCACGACCGACGCCGAGCACCAUCAUCGCACAACCACAACUCCAGGCCGGACCGAAUCAACGUACCUCCCACCUAUGCGCCUAGAGGAUCGGCAAGUGGGGUGCAGGACAAGGCCGGAUUAGGAGGAGAAGCCAUGGAGACAGCGCCGUCGAAGCCAUACAUUGCGCCCCGGAUGCCCACGUCAAUCAUUUUUUUAUUGACGCUUGGUGGAGGUGCCAUGAUUUAUGAAUUAAGCUAUCUGAUGAUGACAACGCUUAUAUUUUAUAGUUUUACCUUUUUUAUUCCCUUUAGAAUUAACAUGUAUCAUUUAAAAAAAAUGAAUUUCUGACGUUUACGAUUUGGUGUGUGUACGUGCCUUAUUACAGGAAUAAAUAACGCACACCAUAAUGAUAUGCCAUUGAGUUGACUUGAGCACUUAGCAAAGAAAGAAAAGAGAGCAUUGGAGACAGAGUCCAACGCUGAGCAGUGCCUUUGUGAAGUCUAUAGGGACUAUAGGGACGGAAGAUGCUAUUCAUCAUGGCAUUAUGGUGAUAUUCUGCUAAAAGAUGAAAGCAUAUGCGUUCGUCUUCAAAUGCACUUCCAAGGGACUGCGCCUGAUCGUCUACUCAUUGUAAGCAAAUUGCAAGAGCCCCCUUGUUAUAUAACUUAGCAUUAGUAUAGAUGCCUACCAAGACUUCUAUGUUUAUCAUCCGUUUGGAUCUUAUGUAAUCCCCUAAGACCAUCCUGUGCAUUUAAAUAUCGGUUAUUUCCUGCUUA
Triticum urartu is the source of this 1834-nucleotide long non-coding RNA. RefSeq lists it as uncharacterized. The record is from RefSeq and is a predicted model, not a curated record. Lineage: Eukaryota; Viridiplantae; Streptophyta; Magnoliopsida; Poales; Poaceae.